Molecule: ribosomal RNA, 392 nt
Filed under: uncultured bacterium
Lineage: Bacteria
Description: partial 16S ribosomal RNA
Rfam family: Bacterial small subunit ribosomal RNA
Source: RNAcentral
AUACGGAGGAUCCGAGCGUUAUCCGGAUUUAUUGGGUUUAAAGGGUGCGCAGGCGGCCAUUUAAGUCAGCGGUUAAAUCGUGGGGCUCAACCCCAUUCUGCCGUUGAUACUGGGUGGCUUGAUUGCGGUCGAGGUUGGCGGAAUUCGUUGUGUAGCGGUGAAAUGCAUAGAUAUGACGAAGAACACCGAUUGCGUAGGCAGCUGACCAGACCGCAAAUGACGCUCAUGCACGAAAGUGCGGGGAUCGAACAGGAUUAGAUACCCUGGUAGUCCGCACAAUAAACGAUGAAUACUUGUUUUCGGCGAUAUAAUGUCGGAGGCAAAGCGAAAGCGAUAAGUAUUCCACCUGGGGAGUACGCCGGCAACGGUGAAACUCAAAUGAAUUGACGGGG